Molecule: ribosomal RNA, 433 nt
Filed under: uncultured bacterium
Lineage: Bacteria
Description: partial 16S ribosomal RNA
Rfam family: Bacterial small subunit ribosomal RNA
Source: RNAcentral
AACGAACGCUGGCGGCAUGCCUAACACAUGCAAGUCGAACGAGACCUUCGGGUCUAGUGGCGCAAGGGUGCGUAACACGUGGGAAUCUGCCCUUUGCUUCGGAAUAACAGUUAGAAAUGACUGCUAAUACCGGAUGAUGUCGAAAGACCAAAGAUUUAUCGGCAAAGGAUGAGCCCGCGUAGGAUUAGGUAGUUGGUGGGGUAAAGGCCUACCAAGCCGACGAUCCUUAGCUGGUCUGAGAGGAUGAUCAGCCACACUGGGACUGAGACACGGCCCAGACUCCUACGGGAGGCAGCAGUGGGGAAUAUUGGACAAUGGGCGAAAGCCUGAUCCAGCAAUGCCGCGUGAGUGAUGAAGGCCUUAGGGUUGUAAAGCUCUUUUACCAGGGAUGAUAAUGACAGUACCUGGAGAAUAAGCUCCGGCUAACUCCGUG